GGAUCAAUAUGUCGGUCGUGCCAUCGGUACGUACUGGUAUCAUUGGUUUCUCCUUUCUGACGAACCAUGAUGUCAUUAAUUUGGUGUUAUGGGGAGUUAGGACUGUUACUUUGAAAAAAUUAGAGUGUUUAAAGCAGGCUUUAGCUUGAAUACAUUAGCAUGGAAUAAUGAAAUAGGACGUUCGAACCUAUUUUGUUGGUUUCUAGGAUCAACGUAAUGAUUAAUAGGGAUAGUUG
Molecule: ribosomal RNA, 236 nt
Filed under: uncultured Glomus
Lineage: Eukaryota; Fungi; Glomeromycota; Glomeromycetes; Glomerales; Glomeraceae
Description: partial 18S ribosomal RNA
Rfam family: Eukaryotic small subunit ribosomal RNA (bases 47-236)
Source: RNAcentral